Molecule: long non-coding RNA, 434 nt
Organism: Daphnia magna
Lineage: Eukaryota; Metazoa; Arthropoda; Branchiopoda; Diplostraca; Daphniidae
Exons: 2
Source: RefSeq, a predicted model, not a curated record
UUUUGGUUUCAACUUUGUCGAGAGAAGACACGCGAAAAGAGUAACACGUCGUUUUGUUUUCUGCCUUUUUGUGUGUGUGUGUGAUGUCUUUUAUUUCACCUUAAAAACGAAACGCGUGUCAUUCUUAUCGUGAUUAUACAGAAAGGCAGAAUGCAUGCGAAAUUGUACAUGUUUCAAAGUGAAUAUUUGCUGUAGCUGCUGCCAAAAUUGGUGCCUUAUCCGGUUUCUUCUAUACCUUCAUUUGGUUAUAUACUAAAUAACAUGGCAAAUUUAAACGUAUAUAGAAUAUAGCAGCAAACCCCAAGAAAGAAGACGUAUACGUGAUGGGAAUCCCGAGAGAAGCAGACGAAUGUUUUGCUUCAGUGUCUUGAACAAAGUGAUGUAUAACUGUCGUGCGCAUAUAGAGCCAAAAGAAAAUACAUUGGCGGUUUUUA